Molecule: ribosomal RNA, 468 nt
Filed under: uncultured bacterium
Lineage: Bacteria
Description: partial 16S ribosomal RNA
Rfam family: Bacterial small subunit ribosomal RNA
Source: RNAcentral
GACGAACGCUGGCGGCGUGCUUAACACAUGCAAGUCGAACGGAAAGGCCCUGCUUUUGUGGGUUGCUCGAGUGGCGAACGGGUGUGUAACACGCGAGUAACCUGCCCUUGACUUUGGGAUAACUUCAGGAAAAUGGGGCUAAUACCGGAUAGGAGCAUCUGCUGCAUGGUGCGGUUUGGAAAGUUUCGGCGUUUGGGGAUGGCCUCGCGGCUUAUCAGCUUGUUGGUGGGGUGGUGGCUUACUAAGGCUCUGACGGGUAGCCGGCCUGAGAGGGUGACCGGCCACAUUGGGACUGGGAUACGACCCGUACUCCUACGGGAGGCAGCAGUGCGGAAUAUUGCGCAAUGGGCGGAAGCCUUAUGGAACGACGCCGCGUGCGGGAGGACGGCCUUCUGUUUGUAAACCGCGUUAGCCUGGGACGUAGCGUGAGUGACGGUAGUGGGUAAAUAAGCACCGGCUAACUACGUG